Non-coding RNA from Jatropha curcas, 74 nucleotides. Lineage: Eukaryota; Viridiplantae; Streptophyta; Magnoliopsida; Malpighiales; Euphorbiaceae. The record is from Rfam.
GCUCCCGUAACUCAAUUGGUUAGAGCGUUGGUCUUAUGAGCCAAAGGUUGUGGGUUGGAGUCCUUUUGGUAGAA